RNAcentral lists this transfer RNA (71 nucleotides) under Crocodylus novaeguineae (New Guinea crocodile). RNAcentral describes it as "tRNA-Ser". It matches the Rfam family "tRNA". Rfam says of the family: Transfer RNA (tRNA) molecules are approximately 80 nucleotides in length. Lineage: Eukaryota; Metazoa; Chordata; Crocodylia; Crocodylidae. The record is from RNAcentral.
GAAGGAUAGAGCAUGUCGUAUUGCGGUUGGCUUGAAACCAAAUGGUGGGGGUUCAAUUCCCCCUGUCCUUG